This 301-nucleotide ribosomal RNA is filed under the name uncultured bacterium. RNAcentral describes it as "partial 16S ribosomal RNA". It matches the Rfam family "Bacterial small subunit ribosomal RNA", at positions 509 to 809 of the family's 1533-position model. The record is from RNAcentral.
CAGUAGCCGCGGGAAUACGUUGGUGGCAAGCGUUGUCCGAAAUUAUUGGGCGUAAAGGGCUCGCAGGCGGUUUCUUAAGUCUGAUGUGAAAGCCCCCGGCUCAACCGGGGAGGGUCAUUGGAAACUGGGAAACUUGAGUGCAGAAGAGGAGAGUGGAAUUCCACGUGUAGCGGUGAAAUACGUAGAGAUGUGGAGGAACACCAACGGCGAAAGCACUCUGCUGGGCCGACACUGACACUGAGAGACGAAAGCUAGGGGAGCAAAUGGGAUUAGAUACCCCCGUAGUCCCUGUCUCUUAUAA